CUUGUCCGUGAUUACCACUGUAAUGUAUUUUGAGUUUAACGACCAUGAGAAUACUUUACAUGCACUACCAUCUGAGACAUA
RNAcentral lists this small nucleolar RNA (81 nucleotides) under Hucho hucho (huchen). The record is from RNAcentral. Lineage: Eukaryota; Metazoa; Chordata; Actinopteri; Salmoniformes; Salmonidae.